This 2930-nucleotide ribosomal RNA is filed under the name Ectothiorhodospiraceae bacterium. Its description in RNAcentral is "23S ribosomal RNA". It matches the Rfam family "Bacterial large subunit ribosomal RNA". The record is from RNAcentral. Lineage: Bacteria; Pseudomonadati; Pseudomonadota; Gammaproteobacteria; Chromatiales; Ectothiorhodospiraceae.
GUUAUAUGGUCAAGCGACUAAGCGCAUACGGUGGAUGCCUAGGCGGCAACAGGCGAUGAAGGGCGUAGCAGCCUGCGAUAAGCCUCGGGGAGCUGGCAAGCAAGCUUUGAUCCGAGGAUUUCCGAAUGGGGAAACCCGGCCUGCACAAGCAGGUCAUCUCUGUCUGAAUACAUAGGGCAGUGAGGCUAACCCGGGGAACUGAACCAUCUAAGUACCCGGAGGAAAAGAAAUCAACCGAGAUUCCCCUAGUAGUGGCGAGCGAACGGGGACCAGCCAGCACUCUUUAGCAAUCGACUUAGCGGAACGGUCUGGAAAGUCCGGCCAUAGUGGGUGAUAGCCCCGUACGCGAAAAGUGGGUUGUGGAACUAGGUGUGCGACAAGUAGGGCGGGACACGUGGAAUCCUGUCUGAAGAUGGGGGGACCAUCCUCCAAGGCUAAAUACUCGUUGCCGACCGAUAGCGAACCAGUACCGUGAGGGAAAGGUGAAAAGAACCCCUGUUAGGGGAGUGAAAUAGAACCUGAAACCGUGUGCGUACAAGCAGUGGGAGCCUGGCUUCGGCCGGGUGACUGCGUACCUUUUGUAUAAUGGGUCAGCGACUUACUUCUCAGUGGCAAGCUUAACCGUGUAGGGGAGGCAUAGGGAAACCGAGUCUGAAUAGGGCGUUGAGUCGCUGGGAGUAGACCCGAAACCGGGCGAUCUAGCCAUGGCCAGGUUGAAGGUGGGGUAACACCCACUGGAGGACCGAACCGGGUAAUGUUGAAAAAAUUAUCGGAUGAGCUGUGGAUCGGAGUGAAAGGCUAAUCAAGCUCGGAGAUAGCUGGUUCUCCCCGAAAGCUAUUUAGGGAGAGCCUCGUGUCUCACUCCUGGGGGUAGAGCACUGUUUCGGCUAGGGGGCCAUCCCGGCUUACCAAACCGAUGCAAACUCCGAAUACCGGGAAGUGCAAUCACGGGAGACAGACGGCGGGUGAUAACGUUCGUCGUCAAGAGGGAAACAACCCAGACCGCCAGCUAAGGUCCCCAAAUCACAACUCAGUGGGAAACGAUGUGGGAAGGCACAGACAGCCAGGAGGUUGGCUUAGAAGCAGCCAUCCUUUAAAGAAAGCGUAAUAGCUCACUGGUCGAGUCGGCCUGCGCGGAAGAUUCAACGGGGCUUAAGCCAUGUACCGAAGCUGCGGGUGCACGAUUCGUCGUGCGCGGUAGGGGAGCGUUCCGUAAGCCUGUGAAGGUGUGUCGUAAGGCAUGCUGGAGGUAUCGGAAGUGCGAAUGCUGACAUGAGUAACGAUAAAGCGGGUGAAAAACCCGCUCGCCGAAAGUCCAAGGGUUCCUGCGCAACGUUAAUCGGCGCAGGGUGAGUCGGUCCCUAAGGCGAGGCCGAAAGGCGUAGUCGAUGGGAAACAGGUCAACAUUCCUGUACCUGUGGUUACUGCGAUGGGGGGACGAAGAAGGCUAGGUCGGCCGGGCGUUGGUUGUCCCGGUUCAAGCGUGUAGGAAGUGGCUCUAGGUAAAUCCGGGGUCGCAAUUCCAAGGCGUGAUGACGAGGCUCCCUCGAGGAGCCGAAGUGAUUGAUGCCAUGCUUCCAGGAAAAGCCUCUAAGCUUCAGGUAACCAGAGACCGUACCCGAAACCGACACAGGUGGACAGGGCGAGAAUCCCAAGGCGCUUGAGAGAACUCGGGUGAAGGAACUAGGCAAAAUAGCACCGUAACUUCGGGAGAAGGUGUGCCCCUUGUACGUGAAGGACCUCGCGUCCGGAGCCGAAGGGGGUUGCAGUGACCAGGUGGCUGCGACUGUUUACUAAAAACACAGCACUCUGCGAACUCGUAAGAGGAAGUAUAGGGUGUGACGCCUGCCCGGUGCCGGAAGGUUAAGUGAUGGGGUUAGCCCUCGGCGAAGCUCUUGAUCGAAGCCCCGGUAAACGGCGGCCGUAACUAUAACGGUCCUAAGGUAGCGAAAUUCCUUGUCGGGUAAGUUCCGACCUGCACGAAUGGCGUAACGAUGGCCACACUGUCUCCACCCGAGACUCAGUGAAAUUGAAAUCGCUGUGAAGAUGCAGCGUACCCGCGGCAAGACGGAAAGACCCCGUGAACCUUUACUAUAGCUUUACACUGGACUUUGAACCUAUUUGUGUAGGAUAGGUGGGAGGCUUUGAAGCCGGAUCGCCAGAUUCGGUGGAGCCAACCUUGAAAUACCACCCUGGUAUGUUUGAAGUUCUAACCCAGGCGCUACAACGUCGGGGACAGUGUAUGGUGGGUAGUUUGACUGGGGCGGUCUCCUCCCAAAGAGUAACGGAGGAGCACGAAGGUACCCUCAGCGCGGUCGGAAAUCGCGCAAUGAGUGCAAAGGCAUAAGGGUGCUUGACUGCGAGACAGACAAGUCGAGCAGGUACGAAAGUAGGUCUUAGUGAUCCGGUGGUUCUGUAUGGAAGGGCCAUCGCUCAACGGAUAAAAGGUACUCCGGGGAUAACAGGCUGAUACCGCCCAAGAGUUCAUAUCGACGGCGGUGUUUGGCACCUCGAUGUCGGCUCAUCACAUCCUGGGGCUGAAGUCGGUCCCAAGGGUAUGGCUGUUCGCCAUUUAAAGUGGUACGCGAGCUGGGUUUAGAACGUCGUGAGACAGUUCGGUCCCUAUCUGCCGUGGGCGUUUGAGAUUUGAGGGAAGCUGCUCCUAGUACGAGAGGACCGGAGUGGACGAACCUCUGGUGUUCCGGUUGUCACGCCAGUGGCACUGCCGGGUAGCUAAGUACGGAAGGGAUAACCGCUGAAAGCAUCUAAGCGGGAAGCCCACCCCAAGAUGAGGUCUCCCGGACCCUUGAGGUCCCUAAAGGUCCGUCGAAGACUACGACGUUGAUAGGCUGGGUGUGGAAGCGCGGUAACGUGUGAAGCUAACCAGUACUAAUUGACCGUGCGGCUUGACCAUAUAACACCCAAGCAGU